UGAGGAAUAUUGGUCAAUGGACGAGAGUCUGAACCAGCCAAAUCGCGUGAAGGAAGACUGCCCUACGGGUUGUAAACUUCUUUUGUACAGGAAUAAAAGACAUUACGUGUAAUGUAUUGCAUGUACUGUACGAAUAAGCAUCGGCUAACUCCGUGCCAGCAGCCGCGGUAAUACGGAGGAUGCGAGCGUUAUCCGGAUUUAUUGGGUUUAAAGGGUGCGCAGGCGGGAUUUUAAGUCAGCGGUGAAAUUUUCAGGCUCAACCUGAACACUGCCGUCGAAACUGGGAUUCUUGAGUAUGGAUGAAGUAGGCGGAAUUCGUUGUGUAGCGGUGACAUGCUUAGAUAUAACGAGGAACUCCGAUUGCGUAGGCAGCUUACUAAGCCAUAACUGACGCUCAAGCACGAAAGCGUGGGGAUCAAACA
RNAcentral lists this ribosomal RNA (422 nucleotides) under uncultured bacterium. Its description in RNAcentral is "bacterial SSU rRNA". It matches the Rfam family "Bacterial small subunit ribosomal RNA", at positions 355 to 774 of the family's 1533-position model. The record is from RNAcentral.